Molecule: ribosomal RNA, 443 nt
Filed under: Senticolis triaspis
Lineage: Eukaryota; Metazoa; Chordata; Lepidosauria; Squamata; Colubridae
Description: partial 16S ribosomal RNA
Rfam family: Bacterial large subunit ribosomal RNA
Source: RNAcentral
CGCCUGCCCAGUGAACAAUUAAACGGCCGCGGUACCCUAACCGUGCAAAGGUAGCAUAAUCAUUUGUCUACUAAUUAUAGACCUGUAUGAAAGGCAAAAUGAGGGCCCGACUGUCUCUUAUAAUAAAUCAAUUAAACUGAUCUUCUAGUAAAAAAGCUAGAAUUACAACAUAAGACCAGAAGACCCUGUGAAGCUUAAACUAAACUAUUAAAUCAAUUAAUAACUACUUUCGGUUGGGGCGACCUUGGAAAAAAAAAGAACUUCCAAGACCCAGUACAACUGACAAUUGAACCAAGUUACUCCAGGGAUAACAGCGCAAUCCUCUUCAAGAGCCCAUAUCAAAAAGAGGGUUUACGACCUCGAUGUUGGAUCAGGACAUCCUAAUGGUGCAGCCGCUAUUAAGGGUUCGUUUGUUCAACGAUUAACAGUCCCACGUGAUCUGA